Molecule: ribosomal RNA, 792 nt
Filed under: uncultured Pelagibacteraceae bacterium
Lineage: Bacteria; Pseudomonadati; Pseudomonadota; Alphaproteobacteria; Candidatus Pelagibacterales; Candidatus Pelagibacteraceae
Description: bacterial SSU rRNA
Rfam family: Bacterial small subunit ribosomal RNA
Source: RNAcentral
GGCACGCCUUAUACAUGCAAGUCGAACGGAGUAGCAAUACUCAGUGGCAGACGGGUGAGUAACAUGUAGGUAUCUUCCCUUUGGUGAGGAAUAACACGAGGAAACUUGUGCUAAUACCUCAUAAGUCUUUACGGAGAAAGCUUUAUGCGCCAUUGGAUGAGCCUGCACUUGAUUAGUUUGUUGGUGGGGUAAUGGCCCACCAAGACUUUGAUCAAUAGCUGAUUUGAGAGGAUGAUCAGCCACAUUGGGACUGAGACACGGCCCAAACUCCUACGGGAGGCAGCAGUAGGGAAUCUUGCACAAUGGAGGAAACUCUGAUGCAGCGAUGCCGCGUGAGUGAAGAAGGCCCUUGGGUUGUAAAGCUCUUUCGUCGGGGAAGAAAAUGACUGUACCCGAAUAAGAAGGUCCGGCUAACUUCGUGCCAGCAGCCGCGGUAAUACGAAGGGACCUAGCGUAGUUCGGAAUUACUGGGCUUAAAGAGUUCGUAGGUGGUUAAAAAAGUUGGUGGUGAAAUCCCAGAGCUUAACUCUGGAACUGCCAUCAAAACUUUUUAGCUAGAGUAUGAUAGAGGAAAGCAGAAUUUCUAGUGUAGAGGUGAAAUUCGUAGAUAUUAGAAAGAAUACCAAUUGCGAAGGCAGCUUUCUGGAUCAUUACUGACACUGAGGAACGAAAGCAUGGGUAGCGAAGAGGAUUAGAUACCCUCGUAGUCCAUGCCGUAAACGAUGUGUGUUAGACGUUGGAAAUUUAUUUUCAGUGUCGCAGCGAAAGCAAUAAACACACCGCCUGGGGAGU